GCUGCUGUAGCACAGUCUGGCCUAAUGCGCCGCCCUGUCACGGCGGAGAUCGCGGGUCCAAAUCCCGCCAGCAGCGCCA
Molecule: transfer RNA, 79 nt
Filed under: Terriglobia bacterium
Lineage: Bacteria; Pseudomonadati; Acidobacteriota; Terriglobia
Description: tRNA-Asp
Rfam family: tRNA
About the family: Transfer RNA (tRNA) molecules are approximately 80 nucleotides in length. Their secondary structure includes four short double-helical elements and three loops (D, anti-codon, and T loops).
Source: RNAcentral